RNAcentral lists this transfer RNA (71 nucleotides) under Marmota monax (woodchuck). Its description in RNAcentral is "tRNA.Ala". It matches the Rfam family "tRNA". From Rfam's summary of the family: Transfer RNA (tRNA) molecules are approximately 80 nucleotides in length. The record is from RNAcentral. Lineage: Eukaryota; Metazoa; Chordata; Mammalia; Rodentia; Sciuridae.
GGGGUUGUGGCUCAGUGGUAGAGCGCUCACCUAGCAUGUGGGAGGAACUGGGUUCGAUCUUCGGCACCACA